CCUACGGGAGGCAGCAGUGGGGAAUAUUGGACAAUGGGCGAAAGCCUGAUCCAGCCAUGCCGCGUGUGUGAAGAAGGUCUUCGGAUUGUAAAGCACUUUAAGUUGGGAGGAAGGGCAUUAACYUAAUACGUUAGUGUUUUGACGUUACCGACAGAAUAAGCACCG
This 165-nucleotide ribosomal RNA is filed under the name uncultured bacterium. RNAcentral describes it as "partial 16S ribosomal RNA". It matches the Rfam family "Bacterial small subunit ribosomal RNA", at positions 338 to 495 of the family's 1533-position model. The record is from RNAcentral.